This 73-nucleotide transfer RNA is filed under the name Ovis aries (sheep). It matches the Rfam family "tRNA". From Rfam's summary of the family: Transfer RNA (tRNA) molecules are approximately 80 nucleotides in length. Their secondary structure includes four short double-helical elements and three loops (D, anti-codon, and T loops). Further hydrogen bonds mediate the characteristic L-shaped molecular structure. tRNAs have two regions of fundamental functional importance: the anti-codon, which is responsible for specific mRNA codon recognition, and the 3' end, to which the tRNAs corresponding amino acid is attached (by aminoacyl-tRNA synthetases). tRNAs cope with the degeneracy of the genetic code in two manners: having more than one tRNA (with a specific anti-codon) for a particular amino acid; and 'wobble' base-pairing, i.e. permitting non-standard base-pairing at the 3rd anti-codon position. Lineage: Eukaryota; Metazoa; Chordata; Mammalia; Artiodactyla; Bovidae. The record is from Rfam by way of RNAcentral.
UCCCCGGCGGUCCAGUGGUUAAGACUCCUUGCUCCCAAUGCAAGGGUCACAGGUUUGAUCCCUGUUCAGGGAA